Molecule: RNA transcript, 9231 nt
Organism: Panicum virgatum (switchgrass)
Lineage: Eukaryota; Viridiplantae; Streptophyta; Magnoliopsida; Poales; Poaceae
Exons: 16
Source: RefSeq, a predicted model, not a curated record
AGACUCAUCCAGGCCCACACACUUGACGACCUCUCCCUCCUCGGAAUCCACCCCCCGCCGCCACGCUUGCCUCGCCGGCCUCGUCUGCCCGCACCCCGCAGUCCCCCAAGCACUUAGACCGUCCACAGCGGCCGGAGCAUCCCCCGUCGAGGAAACCCAGGAAAAUCCCCAUCCCCCCGCCCGGAUCCGAUUCCACAUUGCACUAGUAAGCGUCGAGGAGCAUCUCGCGUCCGAUCCGGCUCCCCUGCGUUCCGGCUCGCGGCACCGGCGUCGAUUUCGCCGGCCGGCGGGCGCCGCUGGGGUGGGGGGCGGCGAUGGGGAACCGGACGAGGAGCGGGAGGCGCCGCCGUGCCAGCGGCGGCGACGGGGGGAGCGCGAGCGCGAGCGGGAGCAAGCGCCUGCGGUGGGUAACGGAGGAGGAGCUGGAGGAGGAGGCGGGGCCGGGGGAUGGGGAGGACGAGGACCUCUGCUUCGUCUGCAAGGACGGCGGCGAACUCCGCAUCUGCGACUACAGGAGCUGCCACAAAGCUUACCAUCCUGGUUGCGUGGGGAAAAGUGUAGACUUCCUCAAAUCGGAUGAAGAAUUCAUUUGUGAAUGGCAUACAUGCUCUAUUUGCGAAGGACGUUCCCGCUACAAUUGCUUCUGCUGUCCACAGAACACCUUCUGCCAAGGUUGUGUGGCACAGGCGGAAUUCGUCCCAGUCCUGAGGAAGACAAAGGGAUUCUGCAGUAACUGUUUAAGGAUGGUCAUCAUGAUUGAGAAGAAUGUUGAUGUUGACUCUGAUGGGGGGAGGGCUGAUUUCAAUGACAGGGAAACUUAUGAAUUUCUAUUCAAGGAGUAUUGGGAAAUAGUUAGAGACAAGGAGGGCUUGACUCUGGAUAAACUUGAAGAAGCAUAUGCUAUUCUGAAAAGAGGCCAGAACUGCAAACAAGAUUCAGAUUUAGAAAAACUUCACGAUGAAGAACACAGCUCAGACGAUGACUUUGUGGGCAAUAGUGAUGAUGAUGGUGAAGAGCCGUCUGCCCGAGCCAAAUUAAAUGGAACGACAAUGAAAAUAAAAUCUUUCCUGAAGAAAGGCAAGUCAAUGAGGAAUGGCUUUAUGGGCUGGGCUUCGAAAGAGCUCAUUGAAUUCCUUUUGUCCAUUGGGAAAGAUACAUCAGAAACUCUAGAUCAAUAUCGUGCUGCUGAAGUGGUGAAGGACUACAUUCGAAAAAAAGAUUUAUUGCAAAAAGAUAAGAAAAAACUUGUCAUUUGUGAUGACAAGCUCCAGCUUUUGUUUAGGAAAUCAAAAGUAAAGUACAACAAGAUAUAUUACUUGUUAGAAAAGCAUAUUGCUGCAAACAUGAUAUCAGAUGAUGAAAUCCUUGCUAGUUCUGAUGAUAACAGUGAUUCAGUUAUGACAAAGAAAGCUCGUACUGUGAGCUGUCAGCCCAGUACCCUGAAGCGUACUCCUGAAAUAAACAAGAGAUGUUUUGCUGCUCUUGUUCGUGAUAACAUUAAUCUAAUCUAUUUGAGGAGAUCAUUAGUUAUGGACCUACUAAAGGAGCCAGCUACAUUUGAAAGUAAAGUUGUUGGCUGUUUCGUUAGAAUAAAGAAUGAUCCCAAAGAUUACAGUUUCCAAAAGCAUAAAAUGUUGUACCGGUUUGGAAAAGUAACAGGCAUUAGGAAAACCACUGAAGAAUAUGAGAUAAAAGACACAGCAAAUGUUCUUUUAUGUAUUUUGAACAUGCCUGACGUCAACAUCUCCAUGUUGUCAGAUGAAGAUUUUGAUGAGGAAGAAUGUGAAGAUCUUCGUUUGCAGGCCCAGAAUGAAUCCUUUGAAAGGUAUACUGUGGGUGAUCUUGAGGAUAAAGCAAGAAGCUUACGCAGGGACAUCAUGAGUCAUUGGAUCAAUAAAGAACUUCAGAGACUAGAUAGAUUAAUUGACAAGGCGAACGAGAAAGGUUGGAGACAGGAUAAGGAUGCAUACCUGGAUAAGAAACAGCUCUUACACAAACCAUCUGAACAACAACGUCUACUUGAAGAGGUCCCACCAGUUAUUCCAGAGAUGGAAGAUGGUAAAGAUACUGAAGUUCAAGUUACAACAAGAGACAAGUCUACUAAGAAGAGCACUGUUGCUUUUCAAGGUACCAAUGCAGAAAGCAUUGUUUCUUUGAAAAGAUGCUCAGAAGAAAAAUAUAAAGGUAACAAUGGGAAAAGAGCAUCACUUCUGAAGAGCUGCGCUCAAGAAAAAUUCAAAGCGGCGAAGCCAGCCCCAGAAAUCACCUAGGGCGGCUACUGUAGCAAGCCGAGGCCAAGCGCUGCUCCGUCGAGCGGCUGGGCGCUGCCGCACUGGGGCCUGGAGGCCUGGCCGGCGCUGGCGCCCGGCGGCCUAGCGGCUGCGCGCCUGGCCACCUGGGAACAGGGAGCCGUCGGGACUCGGGAGGCCGGAGGCGGGCUGGCUGCGUGCCGUGCGAGGGGGGCAAGGCCAGCCGCCUCCCGCCGGCAUGGCACCGCAGGCCGCAGCCCGCAGGUCGGCAGGUGGCGAGCGGAGCGGCCGAGCGCUGCGGCGCAGCGAGGAAGAGCCGACGAGCGGGGAAUGGGGAAGGGAAAACGGGAGACCUAGAGUCCUGGGUGCCUAUCUGCCUGCUGGGCCGAUGGCCGCGGCCCAGUCCAGCCACGAGUGACGAGCCUCCAGCCGAAGCCCACGAGGCCACGACGCCUGCCCAGCCCCAUCUUCACCAAUCACCACCGGCGAGGCGCCACAUCGGGGCGCCCGGACUAGCCGACGGCCGACGGCGUCGCCGCGUCGUCCUCAGCUCCCGUGGGAAUCCCGGCCAGGCGGACCUAGGGCGGCCGCCCUAGCUCGCCCUAGUGGUGGCUUCGCCACUGCAUACAUUUGCUUUGAUUCUGUGAAGUUGUCUCUUUGAUAUAAAUUUUUAGUUGGUAGUUUGGUAGUGAGAAACAGCUCAAUAACUCAUUGCACCUGUUUAUUUGUGACAUCAAAGACUUUGGAACUUAACACUAAGGAGCUAUCCGUGCCCAAAUGGUACUCUUAACUAAUUUUGCCAUAUGAUAUAGGAUAAACUUAGUCUGUCCAAUGUUUUGCUCAUUAAUUAUAGGAUAAACUGGUUCCAUGACAUCAAAAGUGUUAGGAAUAUGAAGACCCAUACACUAUAGGCCCAUAUGGCCCAUGUACAUAUCUUCAUGUAGACAACAGAGCUACGACUCUUCUAUUCUUCCUCUCUUUGUUCAUUCUAUCUUCAUCUGUAACAUGGUAUCAGAGCGGGUUCGAUAGCCCCGCCCGAGAUUCAUUUUUUUUCUGCUGCCGGCCGCCGGCCGCCGGCCGCCAGCCACCUGUCGUGACGGCGACUUGUCCGGCUGCCCGUCUCAUCCGCCGCCUAUUGCUGCCGCCGUCCGCCCAUCGCAGCCUCCAGUCCGCCGCCUGCAGCCUCGCGUCCGCCGCCCAUCGCGGCCUCGCGUCCGCCGCCCGUCGCGGCCCUUCGCCGUCGCGGAUCCGCACGUUGCGGGCUGCCUGCUGUUCGCCUUGGCGCCGUCCGUCGAGGCUGUCUGUCUAGGCCUCCUUCCUUGCCGCCUCCGCAGUGCAGAAGAGGGAGAGGGGGGGGGGGGGCGGUGCGGUUGUGCUGCUGGACUCCUCCAAGCUGUCUGUCUCUGCUCUGCUUGCGGAUGCCACUUUUGUUUUUCUCGGGAAGUAUUGGAUUUGGUGCCGUGAUUCAAAUUGGGCCUAUUUCUGCUAGCUGUUGCUAUCUGCUGGUGUGAUUGUUCUUGUGCAUCGGCUGUCGUGGAGUAGCAGUCAUACGUCUAUCUGGUCUGGUGCUCUCUGCCACUGGCUCCUUAGUUCUUCUAUAUUGCCGCUGCAUACUGGUGGUCUGCAUCCGUGACAUCACCAUCAUUGCUUAUUGGUGCCGCUUCUCUUCAAGAAUAGUCACUGCCCAAAUUCUCUGAUUUGAGUACAAGUAUCAACAUUUCUUCAACAUGUUGCAAUCCAGUGUUAUGGCUAGUGAUAUCAAACUUGAUGUUGGGGUUCAUACUUGUGGAACUGUGUCGAUUGCUGCUGCCUCUCAGAACAUUGCUUCGCAGUCUUGGAUUCUGGAUUCAGGGGCUUCUUUUUAUGUGACGUCUGACAAGUCUAAGUUGGUAGCAUGUAAACCAGUCACUAAUGUUACUUCUAUCCACACUGCUGAUGGUACAUCAUGUCAUGUUACUCAUCAGGGUUCUCUUCACUCUCCCCUUUUUUAUAUACUCGAUGUUUCCUGUGUACCUCAGCUAUCUAUGAAUCUUCUAUCAGUGGGUCAAAUAGCUGAUAUGAACUGCUUUGUUGGAUUUGAUAAUUCGUCAUGUUUUAUCCAAGAUCGUCAGAGUGGAAGUGUGAUUGGGGCUGGUCAUCGCCGUAGAGAUUCUUCUAACCUCUAUGUUCUGGACACUUUACAUCUUCCUUCUUCCACCACUCGUGUGUCACUAGCUGUGUCAUCAUCAGCUUCAUCUUUCGCCAAGUGGCAUCAUCGUCUUGGCCACCUAUGUGGGUCUCGAUUGUCUACGCUGAUCCAUGAGGGUCGUCUUGGUCGUAUUCCUAUUGAUUCUAGUUUCCACUGCAAGGGUUGCAGGCUUGGUAAACAGGUACAACUCCCAUAUUCUAGUAGUACUUCUCAUUCUACUCGACCUUUUGAUCUUAUUCACUCAGAUGUCUGGGGUCCUUCACCUUUUGCUUCUAAGGGUGGUCACAAUUACUAUGUCAUUUUCAUUGAUGACUAUUCUCGAUACACUUGGAUCUAUUUUAUGAAACAUCGAUCUCAACUGUGCUCUAUUUACCAGUCCUUUGCUUGCAUGGUGCACACUCAAUUUUCUACUGCUAUUAGAGUUUUUCGUUCUGAUUCUGGAGGUGAAUACUUGUCUUCAGCUUUUCGCCAGUUUCUCACAUUCGAGGGCACCCUUGCUCAGCUCUCAUGUGCAGGGGCUCAUGCUCAGAAUGGUGUUGCUGAGCGUAAACAUCGCCAUCUUAUUGAGACUGCUCGGACACUUCUCAUUGCAUCUUUUGUGCCGUCUCAUUUUUGGGGAGAAGCUGUCUCAACUGCUAUUUAUCUUAUUAAUCGGCAACCUUCCUCCAAACUUGCUGGAAAAUGUCCUGGUGAGAUUCUUUUUGAUAUACCUCCUAACUAUGACCAUCUCCGAGUGUUUGGGUGCACAUGCUAUGUCUUACUUGCAUCUCGUGAGAGAACUAAGUUGACCGCUCAGUCUGUUGAAUGUGUUUUUCUGGGAUAUAGCCCCGAGCACAAGGGUUAUUGUUGCUAUGAUCCUUCCUCGCGUCGCAUGCGUAUCUCUCGUGAUGUGACAUUUGUUGAGAAUCGUCCUUUCUUCUAUAACCCCUCUACCCAGCCCUCAUAUUCUCCCACAGAGUCCACAUCAUUUCUUUUUCUUCCUCCCAUUUCAUCUAGUGAUGCUGCCAUACCACCACCACCACCACCACCACCUCCUGUUACCCUUAUUCCUGAUCCUAUUCCUUCCGCUACAUCCACUCCACCACCUCCGCCCUCUAAACCACCUAUAACACAUGUCUACACUCGUCACACAGGGCUUCCGCCUAGUCCUACCUCCUUGACCAGUCCUGAUACUCCUGUUUUAGCUGAAUCUGACAAUAUUGAUGAGUCACAUGCUAUCUCUGAUGAGUUACAGGCUGGUCCACGAUAUAAUCUACGGGAUCGCACUACUAUUGAGCUUCCUGCCAAGUUGAGAUUUCCACAUGUGAAUGCUGUUAUUGUUGAGCCAUCUACUUAUCAAGAAGCUUCUUGUAUUCCAGAGUGGCAGCUUGCUAUGUCUGAAAAGCUUGCUGCUCUUGAUCGUACAUGCACUUGGGAUAUUGUUCCAUUACCGUCGCAUGCGACACCCAUUACAUGUAAGUGGGUAUUCAAAAUUAAGACCAAGUCAGAUGGUUCUAUUGAGAGAUAUAAGGCACGUCUUGUUGUCAGAGGGUUCCAACAGAUUCAGGGACGAGAUUAUGAUGAGACAUUUGCUCCUGUUGCUCAUAUGACUACUGUUCGUACUUUGAUUGCAGUGGCUGCUAUUUCUCCUUGGAGUAUCUCUCAGAUGGAUGUUAAGAAUGCUUUUCUUUUUUUCAUGGUGACUUGCAUGAGGAAAUUUAUAUGCAGCCACCCCCAGGUGUUGAUGCUCCUUCAGGACAUGUUUGUCGACUUCGUCGUGCUUUAUAUGGCCUUAAACAAGCUCCUUAUGCUUGGUUUGAGCGCUUUGUUACUGUGGUUCGGGCUGCUGGUUUUUCCCCUAGUGAACAUGAUCCUGCCUUAUUUAUCCAUGUCUGUCCACGUGGACGUACUUUGCUGCUUUUAUACGUUGAUGAUAUGUUGAUAACAGGAGAUGAUGUGGAAUAUAUUUCUCAGCUAAAGCAGCAGCUUAGUGAGCAAUUUCAUAUGUCUGAUUUGGAUCCUCUCAGCUAUUUCUUAGGAAUUGAGGUUAUACAUUCUGCAAAGGGAUACUACCUUUCUCAGUCUAAAUACAUACAAGAUCUUAUUGCUUGUUCUGGAAUUACUGAUAAUCGGACGACUGCAACACCUAUGGAUCUUCACCUGCAGCUUCGCCCUAAUGACGGUACACCUCUUGAGGAUCCCUCUCGAUAUCGGCAUAUUGUGGGCAGUCUUGUUUAUCUCACUGUUACUAGACCCGAUAUUGCUCAUGCAGUCUAUAUUCUGAGUCAGUUUGUGAGUGCUCCUACUUCGGUUCAUUUUGGACAUUUGAUUCGUGUGUUGAGAUAUUUAAGGGGGACAUCAUCUCAGUGUUUGCUCUAUGCUCGUGAUAGUCCGCUUCAGCUUCAUGCUUACUCAGACUCAACUUGGGCGAGUGAUCCAAUAGAUCGUCGUUCUAUCACAGGUUAUUGCAUUCUUCUUGGCUCUUCUCCUCUUGCAUGGAAGUCCAAGAAGCAAGCAGCUGUAUCUCGAUCCAGCACAGAGGCAGAACUUAGAGCACUCGCCACUACAACUUCAGAGAUUGUAUGGCUUCGAUGGUUGUUAAAUGAUUUUGGUAUUUCUUGUGAGGCCCCCACACCUCUUCUUUGUGAUAAUACUGGAGCCAUACAGAUUGCCAAUGAUCCAGUAAAGCAUGAACUUACAAAGCAUAUUGGUGUGGAUGCCUCAUUUACGCGAUCUCACUGUCAUCAGAAAACAAUUGAUCUUCAGUAUGUACCGUCAGAACUGCAAUUGACAGACUUCUUCACCAAAGCACAAACUCGGGAGCAACAUCGGCUUCACUUACUCAAACUCAAUGCUUCGAAUCCUCCGCUUUCGCCAUGAGUUUGAAGGGGGGUGUUAGGAAUAUGAAGGCCCGUACACUAUAGGCCCAUAUGGCCCAUGUACAUAUCUUCUUCAUGUAGACAACAGAGCUACGACUCUUCUAUUCUUCCUCUCUCUGUUCAUUCUAUCUUCAUCUGUAACAAAAAGAUGACACUUUUAGAAAUAUACCACCGAACUGACUUUGUACAUUUCAAUACCAUUGAAAGAUCCCAUCUUUUUGACAUAUGCCAGUCCAUCACGUUUUCCUUCCAUCAGUUCAUUUUUCCGUCAGAUGUGAUACAAGCGCUGUUAUCGUCUAUCUGCAAACGUUGCUGGCUUGUUCCCAUCCGUCCGGCUCUGGCUGUGCCCUAGCGCGCGGUCCCCUGCUGCCCUUGUUCUACAGUCUUCCCCCCCAAAUUAAGCAGCUUGGAACUCAAAUCAAACCUUUGUGCCGCUCAGUUGUCAAAUACUCAAAUUGAAGCUGCAGUCUGCCCAAUCGAGCUGUGCCCCAGCCCAAGCUGAGCUUGUUGAUGGCCAAAGGAGUCUUCAACCAAUCGAGCUCGUCGUCGUGCGUCAGCUGUGCCAUAGUUGUUCUCAGCAGCCCAUAGGUGCAAAAAUCUGCGGUGGCCUGUGGCAGAGUCAAGUUAGGGUUCGGCUGUGGGUGAAAGCUGGAUGGAGCGCAGCAGCCUUUGGUGGCGCUUAGCUGGGGUGUGGCCUCGCGCGGAGGUUUGCCUGGGUGUGACAGACUGGCGGAGCCUAACCCUGAUGCAGCCAUGGGUGGAGAGUGGAGACUGCCUGGGUUGUGGCGGUGUGCGACGAAGCCAGGAUGGGGCGUGCUGCAUGUGGAGGAUGGCUAGGGUGCUUGGUGGUGUUCGGCAAAUCUGAGCUAUGGACGUGGGUGGAGGUGGGCCGUGACAGAUCACGGCAGUCUGAAUUGCAGCGUGGCGGCAGCCUGGACCAGAGAUGCAGAGGACGAACUUGCUAGAACAGAGAACGCUGAAGAUGAGUUGGCUGCAAUGCAGAAGGCGGAGGAGGGAUGGAAAAUGUAAUGGAGUGCUACUAACACCUACACUAGUGGUGGUACAGCUGUAAUGGAUACUCAGAAACAGGACACUGAAGGUGCUGAUGGAGGUGUUGAUGGUGAUACAGCUGGAGUGAAUGUUCAAAGGCGGAGCACCGAAGCCACAAAAGUCAUGUGUUCAAGAGCAGGGUGCUAAAGCUGCUGAUAUUAUUAUCAUUGAAGAAGAAGAUGAUGAUCAUCCGUGUCAAAGAAGUGGACAGACAGCAAUUAUUGAUCUAGAAGCCAAUGAUGCCAGUGAUACUCAUGAUGCGCAACACAAGACAAAUAACAUAUCAGGCGGAGUCCACAGAAACGUGAAGGUGAAGGGGGAAGGCUCAGUGCACAGUUGCUUGUGGCAUUACAUCGAUCCUCAAGGCGACGUGCAAGGGCCUUUUUCAUUGGAGCGACUGCACGGUUGGUGGAACAAUGGCUACCUCCCCAAUGAUUUCAGAGUCUGGAAGACAGGCCAAACUAGCGACACCGCCAUCUCGCUCAUAGAUGCUCUGCAGGUGAUCAAUGGGGCCGUGCCAAAUACAGGGCCUCAUGUUAGAUGACUAGAUGGACUUAUAUCGCGGAAAGGGGGAGAGGACUUCUUAGUUGUAAAUAGAUUUAGUCCUUUGUAACAAAUAACAUCCUACCCCCACCCCUGCCCCACCAAUCUAAAAACCCAGUCACCGAGCAAAACCGAUGCUUUGCCUGGCCCUACCCAAGGUGUGGCCUAAUUUGGACUGUAAGCUGCCUCACCCUUUGGCCUAGGUGUAUUUUGUGCCCGGAAAUUGCUUCAGAUGUCUGCUUGGCAUAAAGCAGUUGUGAUCAGAUACAAUGGGUUCAUUUACACAGCACAGACAAUGCUCUGCAUGGUAGUUUGAUGGGAAAACAUGCUUUGGUGGAUCAAA